Molecule: ribosomal RNA, 261 nt
Filed under: Triticum aestivum (bread wheat)
Lineage: Eukaryota; Viridiplantae; Streptophyta; Magnoliopsida; Poales; Poaceae
Description: partial small subunit ribosomal RNA
Source: RNAcentral
AUGAGAGAUGAAGUGGUCAGGGGUGUGCUAAGUUUCUUCGAGGGUGGGGCUCUACCGAAAGGUAUUAAUGAUACAGUAAUUGUGCUAAUCCCGAAAGGCAAAGACCCACGGACACUAAAAGAUUAUCGACCCAUCAGCCUCUGUAACGUCAUUUACAAAGUGAUUUCGAAGUGCCUCGUCAACCAUCUACGUCCUUUGUUGGACGGAAUUAUAUCGGAGACUCAAAGUGCAUUUAUUCCGGGCCGCAUGAUUACAGACAAU